UGUGACGCGGUGCUUGGAAAAUUGAUGUUGCUCGAUCAAAUUCUCUUUCGUAGCCGAAAGUACCCGAAGUCGCGCUCGGCUCUUUCGGGUGUCCACAUAGAAAAUGGAGUUUAAGCGAAGCAAGCGAAGCAGCUAUUCGCCAUCGUUGAUGGGCGCACAACGACGGUUCUGAGCUGGCUGUGCCGUGUAUCUUGUGAAAAACGUGUAUUUUUGUGCUUAAUGCGAGCGAGAAGUGCGUCGAGAUUUUACAAAAUGUCAUCCGCACAAGUCGAUCGACCCACCAAAGUGGGCCAUAUCAACAAGAAGGAUAACGAGAAAUCAAGGAAGACAUUCAAUCCUUCUCACAAGAAGCAUAAGCACGAAGAUAGUCGCCACUUCAAGUUUGGACGCAAACGUCUACAGAGUUUCUCUAGCAAUGGUAAAUUCUUUCCGCCAUAUAAACGUAGAAAGAAGGAGGGUGCUAUUAUUCCGCCAACAAAGUUUCUACUCGGUGGCAAUAUAUGCGAUCCGUUGAAUUUAAACAGCAUGCAAGACGAAGAAAUAAAUAGAGCCAUGAAUGCUGUUACGCCUAAGUCUAGCCCCCUUCCCACGCCUAAGCACAAAAAAGAGGUUAUAGAAGUUAUCAUACCUCCGAAUAUCUGUGAUCCUCUGAAUUUGAAUAACUGUAACGACAAUGACAAUGACGAAUACGAAAAGCAACUUAUAUCUCCUACGAAAAAGGGUUCUAAACGCAGAAACAGGAAGAAAAAACGAGCAUCUUCGGGUUCUGGCAAAGAUGAUGCAAGCGAUCCAGCUGAAACCAAAAGUAAAGAUUGCAUUGCAACCGAUAUUACGGAACCCAUGGAGCUGAUUGCACCGGAAACUGCCGAGACCGAACAACAGCGUGCAUCGUUAAACUCGCCACCAAUCAACCAACCUAAGGAAUCGAAACCAGAGAGUCCACAAAAGGACAAAAAUAAAUUGCGUUUGAAAGGUUUGGAAGAACCCAAGGAUAAGAGAUUACGAAAAGUUGAUGUCAAAGAUAAAAUAGUAAGUCCCGUCAUUCCUCAACCUGGAGCAUGGAAGCCUAGACCGCAACAUCGGCCCAGCCAGGAUAAGAAAAAAAAGCAAAUAAUGCCAAAUUUCAGAGAGAAGGACGCACGUUAUCAGUAUGGUAACUAUAAUAGGUACUACGGAUACCGAAAUUUUCAACAAGAAUUGGACACAAGACUGACAGUAUUUGCACAACGUAAAGAAUUAUUUAUUGGGAAAGAUGUACUCGAUAUUGGGUGCAAUAUUGGCCAUAUUACUCUGUCUGUUGCAAGAGAUUUCUCUGCUCGCAGCGUUACUGGUAUCGACAUCGAUAGAACGCUCAUCAAUAUUGCUCGAAAAAAUGUGAAACGUUACGUUAAUUGCGUACAAUCUCCCGCUGGUAACGGAGACGAUGAUCACCAGGAUGUGAACUUCUUUCCGAUAUCUAUGCCGAUCAAUUAUGGACCAGUUGAUAUUCCCGGUUUCACAAAGAGUAAGAACCACAAAGGGUUCCCUCAUAAUGUCACUUUUGUGCAGGGUAAUUACGUGCUUGAGAACGAUGCUCUCCUGUGCACGGAACAACCUCAGUUCGACACGAUUCUAUGUUUGUCGAUCACCAAAUGGAUACACUUAAAUUUUGGAGAUGCUGGUCUCAAACAGGCUUACAAACGUAUGUUUGCACAGUUACGUCCAGGUGGUGUCUUAGUAUUGGAACCUCAAGGUUGGAGCAGUUACGCUAGGAAAAAAAAUCUUACCGAGCGGAUAUACAAAAAUUACCAGAGUAUCGAGUUUCGACCGCACAACUUCACGCAGUACCUGCUGUCCGCCGAAGUUGGCUUUUCCAAGUGCGAAGUACUGUCGAUUCCUCCGCAUCCAUCGAAAGGCUUUCAACGACCAAUUCACUUGUUCACCAAAGCUGGCCCAGCACAAGAAACUACGGAGAAUCCGACUGCAAGCACGUUAAAUAGACAAGAGCGAAGCGAUGAGGUCAGAAGAAAAGUGGAGCGUAGGAAGUACGAACAGAAGCUCUUUAAAAAAGACGAUAGCGAAUUUCAGGAGGGAAACAUGUCGGGAGUCAAUCAACAGAGUAACGAGUGCAUGAGUCAAUACGAACAAUUGGAGAACGCUUAUGCGCCUAGCACAACACCGUGUUACGACACACCGGGACACAACGAUAGUCAGCCAUCGGACGCGUCAAAAAUGUGUUACUUGGACGUUAGCAUCGAGAGUGAUAAAAGUGUGUCAGAGAACCAAAACUCUUCGGAUAAACAAACUCAUCAACCGCGUGAUAACUCUACGACAGAGCAUCUCAAGUUACGGAAACGAAGUAUCAACACAGCAAAUGAUGUGUACAAUAUAGAUACAAAAAAGAUGAAAAAACUGGACAACACUACGAGGAGGAAAGAAACUACGAUGGAGGAAACAUCUCAUGGAUUGAUUUCUGCAAACGAAAAUGUAAAAAGAUUGGAGCAGGAGCAGCUGGGAAAGGACGAAUUAAAUACCGAAUCGGUAGUCGAUGAAGAUUUGAGUAACUUUAACAACAAGGAUACGAGGAUCACGAAACAGAGGGAAGGGGAAACUGAAUCGAGGAGUCCGUGCAAGGAAGAACAAACAGAAAGGCAACGCUGCGAACUGACCUCGGACAACACAGAGAUUGAGAGAGAAAAGGAAACGCUAAAAGCCGAGAUCGUCGAGUUUAUUGUGGCGAAACAAUCCGGACGAGAUGUCGGUGUUGUCGAAAAAAGUAUUAUUAUAUCGUGGAACGUUCGCUCGUUACGCAGCUGUGACUGGUACACGGAAAGAUUGAGAAGCGUGGAGGAUUUUUAAACGACGUAGUCGCUAUUGUGACCUAGUUUACACUGUACGCAUUUUUGAUACGCGGAUUACAAUAGCGCGAGCUAAGAAUGCAAUUCAACCGAUGAAAUUAUAGCGAAAAUGCCUAGCUUAUCAAACUUGUACAAAGUUGACGUUUUUUCAGAGGUACAUGAAAAUGAAUUUGGAUGAACAUGUUAAGGUACGCCUUUGGAAGUAAUCGAUUUGCAUCAAACAAGCGAUAAUAAUGAAGUACUCGAUACGCGUAUCGAAUGCAAGGUGUGAACUAAGUCUGUGCAAAAAGUUCCUCGGUGAAAACGGUAAUAGAGAGAGAAAAGAGGAAGGCAAGAAAACCGCAAAACCUUCUGGAAGCUUUUAGCUUCCUUAUCGUAUUAUCUAGUCUGCGUGCAUCACGGAGAAGGAACGAAAUGGUCGCAACAACGGUCACUUGUUUGCUCGAGCGGAAUUUUCCUCUCGAUUCGGAAUUGUCCCUCGCGCCCAGGAACGUUUCCGUUCCAUCUGUACAUUGUGCGUAAUUUUCUGCAAUCGAUCGAUCGUUCUCGUCGAUGUUUCAGAUGAUCGUACGUUUUCUUUGUUACAGUGCAACGUCGAUCGGUUAACGACGCGAUUAAACACGCCAGAAGUAUGCUAAGAAUCGAAGAAAAUACGAUAAGAGCCCCGUUUGACCGCGAUACUCGAGUCAAUUGGUUUCUCUUUCGAUGAUAAUGGCUAACGAGUCUUCUUCGAGGAUACUGUCCGAAAAUGUAAACAAGAAAUUUACUUUAUCGAAUCGUCUAAAGUGGAAAGACUUCUUAGGAAACUGUUUCAGUAUUUUCUUUGCUAUUUCGAAUCGAAGGAAAAUGGUUUUAGAAGAGGAACGGAGCGCGUACAGUCGACGGAGCGACGACGAAAUAGCACAAAUCGAUUCCGGGCGCAAUCACUUUUCCAUGUUGUGUUUGAGAGAACGAGAACAAGAUGAACCACUUAGACGCUUACCAGGAACACUCAUAGUGUAAGAAUCAGAUUAAUAAUAAAGAAUCGCUUUGAAUCACGAACUGUGUUUCAUCUGUCUUCGCGCGAGGACCUACUACGUGUAUAGUUACACUGGUAUGGAAAGAUUUGGUGGCGGAGAUCAAACCAUCGUGUAUCUAACGUGCUGAAUUUAUUGUAGUAAGAUAGCUUCUCUACACUAUUACGACUUCACGCUAAAGAUUACGGGUAGGGGAUCGUUUAAAUUCUUUUCGUAUUUUGUUUUGUUUUUUUUUUUCAGGGCGCAUCGAAGACCAAAAUUCAGUCCUGCCUGCAAUCGUGAUACGUCGACAAUGCACAAUCUUUAAUUAUACGUAUUUAUACGUAACACAUUAAUCCAUUUGCAUCAACGAUGCACGUCUACGAUGUUCGAGUUUUUGUUUAUCAAGCAAUCACAAAAUCUUCUCUACCUCUAACAUCUUCGACAAGAACAAAAAGGAAAAGGCUCUGUACGCCUCCUGGGCAACACGAGCCGAAUAGAAAUUGGAUGAUGCAAAUGAUUUAAUAAAAAAUUGUUCACACACUACGCAAACGUACGAACACUGUACGCGUUAAAGGUGCCGUAUUAGGGAUCAUACGUGUUACAGUCGAGCUUCGGUAUUAAUUAUCGAUAGAUAUCGUUUUGACUGGUUAUCUUUUACGAAAUUACAGCGUAGAACGUAAAAAACAGUUCCAGCAAUGUGUCAACAAGGUUCAUGCUGGCUCGCAGCUCGAGAUAUAGUCGGUACGAAAUCGAGUAGUCUCCGAAGGUCACCGACAAACGUUACCCAUUCUACUUCCGAUCUAUCCUCUCGGCUGUAGCUUACCGUAAAAGUGGACGGGCUGAAAACAUUUCCAUAUUCGUUUCUAUACACUAACGGAUUAGAAAUGUUCUAAUUAACAAGCACACAAGAUCGCGUUACAUUGAAAUUAAUUUUCGUAUUUAUCGAACAAUCCGACGAUAAAAGUGGAGGAAGUGACCUCGAGGCUAAUUGAUUUCGUUCCGAUGGUGGCGCCGAUUUAGGCGGCAUAGCGGACGACGCGAAUGAAAUUUCGAACUCGAUGCCUUGGCAGUGACGAUCCCGUGCUUACGGCGACUAACAAUGGACAAAUCAUCGUGCCAUCGUUUGCAUCUACCACUAUAAACGGGUGUGUGAACAAGGGAGGACGACGGAGAGCCGCGUUGACCCGCAACAGCAUUUUCUCUAAAAUCUUCGAAACAACGAAGAAGUGAACAAGCACGAACCGUCGUGCCACGUAAUGGGAGGGUGCGUAUGUUUUGCAUUUUUUGUUAUCGUUUGAAAUAUUUCUUGCCUCCCAAGGUUCGUUCACGUCUAUUUUCGUUGCUUAAGGACUACCAAGGGGCGCCAGCGCCCCGAUCGCACACUCCUGAACGUGCGCGUUGUUACUUUUUAUUUCUACGGAGCCAGAGACAGGCGAAAUUCUCAUGCGAAAGAUCGACAACUUUUCGAGAUAUUUGUCGAAUCAAAAUUAUAAUCCGAAUCAUAAAAUGUACGUUAUGUCGAACGAAUAAGUAAAGGCUUAUUUGAAUAACGAUUCAAUGGAACGAACGUUACGAAUAAAUUACCUUAUCAUGCUUUUAUUCGUUGUCCAUCGUUCGAACAGAAUUUUGCCCGUCUCUGCUAAGGACACGCGUGAUGCGUAUGGCUAUUUCGUAUUGUUUUGUCGUUUACGCCUUUUAAACGCGUGUACUGUAACGCUAUAGCGCGAUAACGUUAUCGUUAUCGAGUUGUUAUCUUUGGAUGCGUACGUUAGAGAAGUUGAAACGUUUGGAAGAAGGGAAAGAAAACGGAUCCUCUUCCUCCUCGUUUAUUUUCGUCGCUGAUCGGUUCUUUUGCCCCUGAAGCGUUACGCGAGAUACGCGCAAGAUGUUGCCACUAAGUGUCAUUGUUUUCUUACAUGUUAAGAAGAAUCAUCCAUAAUUAUUCUACCGAUAUCGACGGCUCCAGGGAACAAGCGCUGACCGUCAGCGUUACCGUCAUCGACUCGAAAACGUGAAAAAAUAUCCCUCUCUGGGAACGGUACACUACCACGUAAAGUGUAGUGCUACAGCAACAGCGCUAAACAGUUCCAGCGUCUGUAAAUCGUUUUCUAGCACCAGCUAUGUUGACAAACCCAUCGGGAGUCCAGAAUGAUAAAAUUCGAAACGCUGGAGGCGCGUUACCGAACGAUAAGAUAAACGUUCGCUUGCUCGGUGUCGGUAUUAAAAAC
This is an RNA transcript of Hylaeus volcanicus, 6063 nucleotides long. It is a transcript of the gene named 7SK snRNA methylphosphate capping enzyme-like, with no coding region annotated. The record is from RefSeq and is a predicted model, not a curated record. The transcript has 6 exons. NCBI's taxonomy places the organism in Eukaryota, Metazoa, Arthropoda, Insecta, Hymenoptera, Colletidae.